CCUACGGGAGGCAGCAGUCGGGAAUAUUGCGCAAUGGACGAAACUCUGACGCAGUGACGCCGCGUGCAGGAAGAAGGCUUUCGGAUUGUAAACUGCUUUAGACAGGGAAGAAAAAAGACAGUACCUGUAGAAUAAGCUCCGGCUAACUACGUGCCAGCAGCCGCGGUAAUACGUAGGGAGCAAGCGUUAUCCGGAUUGAUUGGGUGUAAAGGGUGCGUAGACGGAGAAGCAAGUUAGUUGUGAAAUCCCUGGGCUUAACUGAGGAACUGCAGCUAAAACUGCGUCCCUUGAGUGUUGGAGAGGAAGGUGGAAUGCGUGGUGUAGCGGUGAAAUGCAUAGAUAUUA
Molecule: ribosomal RNA, 345 nt
Filed under: uncultured bacterium
Lineage: Bacteria
Description: partial 16S ribosomal RNA
Rfam family: Bacterial small subunit ribosomal RNA
Source: RNAcentral